CCCUUAGAUGUUCUGGGCCGCACGCGCGCUACUCUGAUGCAUUCAACAAGCCUAGCCUUGACCGAGAGGUCCGGGUAAUCUUUGAAACUGCAUCGUGAUGGGGCUAGAUUAUUGCAAUUAUUAAUCUUCAACGAGGAAUGCCUAGUAAGCGUGAUUCAUCAAAUCGCGUUGAUUACGUCCCUGCCCUUUGUACACACCGCCCGUCGCUCCUACCGAUUGAAUGUGUUGGUGAGGAGCUCGGAUUGGCAGCAGUUGGUGGUUCGCCACCGGCUAUUGCUGAGAAGUCCUCCAAACCGCCCCAUUUAGAGGAAGGAGAAGUCGUAACA
Molecule: ribosomal RNA, 326 nt
Filed under: uncultured eukaryote
Lineage: Eukaryota
Description: partial 18S ribosomal RNA
Rfam family: Eukaryotic small subunit ribosomal RNA
Source: RNAcentral